AAAAAAAAGGCGAGAAAGCGCAGCCAUGCUUUGCAGAGGCUCCGGCGUCGCUCUCAUUGGCAGCAUCAGCUUGUCGCCAAACGGAGUCUUUGCUCGUCCGCCGCUCCACCGAGGACGGAACCGGGAAUACAAGCGACCGUCUCCGGUCAGAUGUACAGAGCUGCAGUGAAGUAUAAGAUUACACAGGUGAAGUGAGAGAGAGAGAGAGAGAAUUAAAAAAAAACCCUGCAGAGCACGGAUACAUACGAGCAGAGCGCGGUGCACCACCAUAUGGCGUGGAGCAGAUCCUGGUGCAUUGUUGGAUAACGGAGGACUUUUACGCUUUCUGCAGUUUUGGACGAAGGGAACAGAACAAACGGAGCCUUUUUAAUCUUCGGUAACGGCCUGGGACGUCUGAGCUUUUCGCCCGCAAAACUAAACCCGCUGGCAUUGCGUUAAAAAUAAUUUCUAUAACUUAACUUCUUUUUCUCCAAUUGCAUAUUCUUUUAGUUUCUUUUUUUUAUUUUUUUUUUACAAUAUAAGGUAAGCCUGCAACAGCCGGGAGAGGAUUUGAUCUCUUUGGACCCUGCCUGAUGUUUGGGAUUUCUUUAUUGUAUUUCCAUUUUUGGCUCAACUUGACAUGACGAUACAGUUUGUAGUCGCACAACAUAAAGGCCUCGAAGGCUGUAAGAUAAUGUGAUGAUAUUCAUAAUGACAGGUUUCAGGGAAAGCUUCGAUGUGUCUCUUUCUUACAGUCGAGUCAAUGCAGCUGGAGGACGAACACACAUGCAACCACAGACUCACACAGACACACACAGACGAGCGGGUUGUGUCUCUCCGUGUUCACAGCGGACCUUGAUUUAAUGUCUUACAAUUAAGGCACGCGGUGAAUGCCAAGAGAUGAUUCCUCUUUCCUCACGUGUCUGCAGAUCCAACACACGCAUUACACACACUACAUUAUAUUCUUUAAAAACACAGUGACGGUUUAGCUUUUGUCUGUUUUGACUGUAACGUGUAACCCUUGUACUGUUUCUCUACCCCCUUUCAGAAAAUAAAAUAAAUACACCACGA
This is a long non-coding RNA of Hippoglossus stenolepis (Pacific halibut), 1050 nucleotides long. RefSeq lists it as uncharacterized. The transcript is spliced from 2 exons. Lineage: Eukaryota; Metazoa; Chordata; Actinopteri; Pleuronectiformes; Pleuronectidae. The record is from RefSeq and is a predicted model, not a curated record.